UGUGUGUGUGUGUGUGUGUGUGUGUGUCUUUUGUUUAAUUCUCUCUACAUUAAUGUAAGGUACUUUCAGAUGAUCAUGAUUUUGUAUUCAUUAGCAUGUCAUAAAAGAAAUUAGCAAUGAUGGUUCAGAUUUGGAGACUCGACAUGUCAAACAGCGUGAUAUGAAAAUCAAGCAGGUACAAAAAAUUUCAGCUAAUCAUCGUUUUGUUUACUUUAGGUAUGGAUGGUUUGAGCACAAUUUGAAGCAACAAAGCAGCGAAGAAUCUUUUGCACCCAUGCACUCUGCAGAAAAGACCAUCGGUGACAAACCUUCAGAUCAUUUUGUGUUUCCAAACAAACCUUCAGAUCCUUUUGAGUUUCCAAACAAACCUUUAGAUCCUUUUGAGUUUCCAAACAAACCUUCAGAUCCUUUUGAGCUUCCAAACAAAUCUUCAGAUCCUUUUGAGUUUCCAAGCAAACCUUCAGAUCCUUUUGAGUUUCCAAGUAAAUUUACCAGUCCAUCCGAUGUGUGUAACACAGAACAG
Molecule: long non-coding RNA, 523 nt
Filed under: Triticum aestivum (bread wheat)
Lineage: Eukaryota; Viridiplantae; Streptophyta; Magnoliopsida; Poales; Poaceae
Description: long non-coding RNA (TAES_LNC026903)
Source: RNAcentral